UGGGUGAAGGACAAGCAAUUCAGUGUUCAGAUUCCUCAGAAAUGUGAGAACAGUCCAGAAGCAUAUCUGCCAUCUUUUCCAAUAAAUCAAGAAGACCUCUCAAAAGAAGGAGUUAAUUCAUUUAACAACAGGGGAGGAACAACGUGUGAGUCAUCAAACAAUACAUCCACUAAGAAGAAUGGAGUCAUUCCAGAAGGAAUUAAUUUUCAAGAUACAGAUUUAUCAAGGACAGAAGAAAACAUUUCUCUGGUGAAAGACGAAAACCUGCAGAAUGGAGGAAGUGAGCAAAGAGAACAUGUGGAGCAGCCAGUAAAGCACGGCAAAAUUACUGGAGAAACUGUGAUACUCCCAGGUGGAAAAACAUGCAUAGUGAUCAUAUGCACAGCUGUGAAUCAUGGGCACAGUAAAGAGCUCCUGUUACUUGGUUUUUCUGAUUUUACUGUUGGACGCUAUAUUGAAGCCACUGUCACAAAUGAAGAAGAAUUACUUAUAGCACCUGUGGAACCAUUUUCUCCAAUAAAGCCUAAAAUUACUGCAAAUUCUCAGCUAAGGAAGACAACAGUGGCUGCCCCUAAAAGCAGAAGGUACUGUGAAUUAAAG
This is a long non-coding RNA of Myiozetetes cayanensis, 600 nucleotides long. RefSeq lists it as uncharacterized. The transcript is spliced from 3 exons. Lineage: Eukaryota; Metazoa; Chordata; Aves; Passeriformes; Tyrannidae. The record is from RefSeq and is a predicted model, not a curated record.